CUGGGUGAAUGGUUAAAUGAAUUAUGGUUCAUCAGACCAUAGACUACUACUCGGAAGUAAAAAGGAACACACUGUUGAUACAUGUGACAACUUGGAUGGAUCUCAAAAGGAUAAUGUUGGGUUAAAAAAAAAAAAAAGGCAGUUUCAAAAGGAUGCUCACUGCAUGAUCUGAAAUUAUGGAGAUGGAGAAUGGAUAAGUGGCUGCCAGGGGUUUUGAUGGUGGGGAAGGAUGGGUGUGGCUGGAAAGGAUUAACACCAGUGUCUUGUGAUGAUGGCAGAGUUUUUUGUUUUUGCUUUUUUUCCCAAGGCCUCAAAUAUGCUAGGCAAGUGUUUUUCCUCUAAGUUAUAGUCCCAACCUGAAUAUUUUUAAUAAGUUUUAUGGACAUAUAAUUCACUUACACGGCUGAGUACCUUGAUUGUAGCAGUGAUUGUGCAAGGUUAUGUAUGUGAUAAAAUUACACAGAGCCAUAUCCACAUGCAAAGAUAUGCACGUAUAAUGGAUAAAAUCUGAGCAUGUUCUGGGGAUUACAGGGUGAAUUUCUUGGCUUUGCUACUGUGCUACAGUUGUGUGAGAUGUUCACACUAGGGGGAGGUAGGGGAAAAAUUCAUGGGCCUUCCCUAUAUACAUCUUUGCAACCCCCUGUGAGCUUAUAAUUACUUAAAAACAAAAAAGGGGGCUGGGGAUUUAGCUCAGUGGUUUCGCCGUCUGCUGUGCAAGCGCAAGGACCCAAGUUUGAUCCCCGGUACCAAAAAAAAAAAAAAGGGGGGGGGGCUGGAGAUGUCGCUCAGCAGCACAGUGCCUGCCUGACAAGUACAAGGUCCUGAGUUCAAUUUCCGGUGCCAGAAAAAAAGGAAUUUCUUUUCUUAGAGAAAGGAUUUUUAAAAAUCCUUCAUUCAGAAUAGGACUCCAUCACUCUAUUCUCUUAGCCUGCUUUCUUUUUGUCCAUAGCCUAUAUCUCUAGUAGACUUUAUAUAAUGUAUAAGUAUCAUAGCUUAUAUCUGGAUGUCCCCCCAAAGCCUCAUGUGUUCAUAGGUGGGGCAUUUGGGAAGUGACUAGGUCAUGGGGGCUGACACUCAGUCCACUGAUGAUGUGAUGUUAGGGGUGAAGCCUGCUCAGAGGCUGGUCUGGGGUACAUGGCCUGGAGGGUCUGUCGUCCUCCCUCUUCUCUUGAUUUCUCUCUGCUUCCUGCUGCUGUACUAUGUGCUCUUUCUCCUCUGGGAUGCCCCUCUGCCAUGCCACCCUGCCUUGGAGCCAGUGGACUAUGGACUGAAACAUCUACAACUGUGAGUCAAAAUAAACCCUUCCUCCUUUAACUAGUGGGUGUUAGGUAUUUUGUCCCAUUAAUGAGGAAAGUAACCAACAAUAACAUAUAACAUAUAUUUGUAUAUAUCUGUCUCCACUAGUUGA
RNAcentral lists this long non-coding RNA (1408 nucleotides) under Heterocephalus glaber (naked mole-rat). Its description in RNAcentral is "lncRNA (ENSHGLG00000043641.1)". Lineage: Eukaryota; Metazoa; Chordata; Mammalia; Rodentia; Bathyergidae. The record is from RNAcentral.